UACAGAGGUCUCAAGCGUUGUUCGGAUUCAUUGGGCGUAAAGGGUGCGUAGGUGGCGCUGUAAGUCAGGUGUGAAAUUUCGGAGCUCAACUCCGAAACUGCAUUUGAUACUGCGGUGCUUGAGGACUGGAGAGGAGACUGGAAUUCACGGUGUAGCAGUGAAAUGCGUAGAUAUCGUGAGGAAGACCAGUGGCGAAGGCGGGUCUCUGGACAGUUCCUGACGCUGAGGCACGAAGGUCAGGGGAGCAAACGGG
Molecule: ribosomal RNA, 253 nt
Filed under: uncultured bacterium
Lineage: Bacteria
Description: partial 16S ribosomal RNA
Rfam family: Bacterial small subunit ribosomal RNA
Source: RNAcentral